RNAcentral lists this ribosomal RNA (488 nucleotides) under Enterobacter hormaechei. RNAcentral describes it as "bacterial SSU rRNA". It matches the Rfam family "Bacterial small subunit ribosomal RNA", at positions 30 to 505 of the family's 1533-position model. Lineage: Bacteria; Pseudomonadati; Pseudomonadota; Gammaproteobacteria; Enterobacterales; Enterobacteriaceae. The record is from RNAcentral.
AUUGAACGCUGGCGGCAGGCCUAACACAUGCAAGUCGAACGGUAACAGGAAGCAGCUUGCUGCUUUGCUGACGAGUGGCGGACGGGUGAGUAAUGUCUGGGAAACUGCCUGAUGGAGGGGGAUAACUACUGGAAACGGUAGCUAAUACCGCAUAACGUCGCAAGACCAAAGAGGGGGACCUUCGGGCCUCUUGCCAUCGGAUGUGCCCAGAUGGGAUUAGCUAGUAGGUGGGGUAACGGCUCACCUAGGCGACGAUCCCUAGCUGGUCUGAGAGGAUGACCAGCCACACUGGAACUGAGACACGGUCCAGACUCCUACGGGAGGCAGCAGUGGGGAAUAUUGCACAAUGGGCGCAAGCCUGAUGCAGCCAUGCCGCGUGUAUGAAGAAGGCCUUCGGGUUGUAAAGUACUUUUCAGCGGGGAGGAAGGCGAUAAGGUUAAUAACCUUGUCGAUUGACGUUACCCGCAGAAGAAGCACCGCUAACUCCC